CCUACGGGGGGCAGCAGUGGGGGAUAUUGCACAAUGGGGGAAACCCUGAUGCAGCGAUGCCGCGUGAAUGAAGACGGCCUUCGGGUUGUAAAGUUCUGUCGCAGGGGACGAAAAUGACGGUACCCUGCAAGAAAGCUCCGACUAACUACGUGCCAGCAGCCGCGGUAAUACGUAGGGAGCAAGCGUUGUCCGGAAUUACUGGGUGUAAAGGGAGCGGAGGCGGGAGGAUAAGUUGAAUGUGAAAUCUAUGGGCUUAACCCAUAGCUGCGUUCAAAACUGUUCUUCUUGAGUGAAGUAGAGGCAGGCGGAAUGCCUAGUGUAGCGGUGAAAUGCGUAGAUAUUAGGAGGAAUACCGUUAGCGAAGGCGGCAAUCUGGCUGGAAACUGACGCUGAGGUGCGAAAGCGUGGGUAGCAAACAGGAUUAGAUACCCUGGUAGUC
This 439-nucleotide ribosomal RNA is filed under the name uncultured bacterium. Its description in RNAcentral is "partial 16S ribosomal RNA". It matches the Rfam family "Bacterial small subunit ribosomal RNA", at positions 338 to 795 of the family's 1533-position model. The record is from RNAcentral.